UGAGCUUGUGCUCUAGAGCCCGAGCUUCUGGCUGUCCAUUCCCUGAUAUAAGAAAGGUUUCCUUUGCGUCUGCACCGGACUAGUUCUCGCUGGCCUGAGAUACCCGGCAGGAGGUGUCUUGUUGGGGUCCAACUGAAAAGGGUCAGUAAUGGUAGGAGCAGGCCAGGCAGUGGGCUAAGAGAACUGAGUAGUGGGAUCCCAUCGUCCUCACAGCAGCUCCGUGGUGGUGUACCAUUGUCGCCCUCUUUUGCACGUGAGAAGCCAGCCGUAUGGAAGUUAAGUAACUUGCUCCUUGUCACUCAGCGAGUGGAGGUGAAAAACAGUUGUGCAGAAGAGAGCAGAAGCUGCCUGGUUUCUAAACUUGGAAGUUCUGAGUCUCAAAUGCCAGGUAUCAGGACAGGACUUUGGCUCAAGGACCCUAUGAGAACCAGGUGCAGUUUGGGAGCUUUCUGCAUCACUCUGAGGCUUGCCUUACCACAGUCCAAGGCCGCCAUACCUUGUGUUCAGCAGGUAAGUGGAUGCAGAACCAAGGGCUUACAAAGAAUGAGACUGAAUGUGGACUAGAGCAAUGCUC
RNAcentral lists this long non-coding RNA (574 nucleotides) under Bos indicus x Bos taurus (hybrid cattle). RNAcentral's name for it is "lncRNA (ENSBIXG00000001857.1)". The record is from RNAcentral. Lineage: Eukaryota; Metazoa; Chordata; Mammalia; Artiodactyla; Bovidae.